ACCUGAGAUCCCAGCUGGUAUUUAUCUAGUGGAAGCCAGGGUAAAGAUGGUAAGAUUGCCACAUCGAGAUGAAGGGAAUUUGGCAUGGGGAUGGUUGAAAGUAGCUGAUCUCUGAAACUCUCUGGGUAUCCUUGGUAA
Cyanistes caeruleus (blue tit) is the source of this 138-nucleotide long non-coding RNA. RefSeq lists it as uncharacterized. NCBI's taxonomy places the organism in Eukaryota, Metazoa, Chordata, Aves, Passeriformes, Paridae. The record is from RefSeq and is a predicted model, not a curated record.